This 377-nucleotide ribosomal RNA is filed under the name uncultured organism. RNAcentral describes it as "partial 16S ribosomal RNA". It matches the Rfam family "Bacterial small subunit ribosomal RNA", at positions 527 to 896 of the family's 1533-position model. The record is from RNAcentral.
GUAGGUGGCGAGCGUUGUCCGGAAUUAUUGGGCGUAAAGCGCGCGCAGGCGGGGUCCUUUAAGUCUGAUGUGAAAAGCCCACGGGCUCAACCGUGGAGGGUCAUUGGAAACUGGGGGACUUGAGUACAGAAGAGGAAAGCGGAAUUCCAAGUGUAGCGGUGAAAUGCGUAGAGAUUUGGAGGAACACCAGUGGCGAAGGCGGCUUUCUGGUCUGUAACUGACGCUGAGGCGCGAAAGCGUGGGGAGCAAACAGGAUUAGAUACCCUGGUAGUCCACGCCGUAAACGAUGAGUGCUAAGUGUUUAGGGGGUUUCCGCCCCUUAGUGCUGCAGCUAACGCAUUAAGCACUCCGCCUGGGGAGUACGGCCGCAAAGGCUG